RNAcentral lists this ribosomal RNA (77 nucleotides) under Citrobacter freundii. RNAcentral describes it as "partial 23S ribosomal RNA". It matches the Rfam family "Bacterial large subunit ribosomal RNA", at positions 2849 to 2925 of the family's 2925-position model. RNAcentral also lists the same sequence under 3 other names. Lineage: Bacteria; Pseudomonadati; Pseudomonadota; Gammaproteobacteria; Enterobacterales; Enterobacteriaceae. The record is from RNAcentral.
GACGUUGAUAGGUCGGGUGUGUAAGCGUAGCGAUACGUUGAGCUAACCGAUACUAAUGAACCGUGAGGCUUAACCUU